Molecule: ribosomal RNA, 161 nt
Filed under: Trametes versicolor
Lineage: Eukaryota; Fungi; Basidiomycota; Agaricomycetes; Polyporales; Polyporaceae
Description: 5.8S ribosomal RNA
Rfam family: 5.8S ribosomal RNA
About the family: 5.8S ribosomal RNA (5.8S rRNA) is a component of the large subunit of the eukaryotic ribosome. It is transcribed by RNA polymerase I as part of the 45S precursor that also contains 18S and 28S rRNA.
Source: RNAcentral
UACAACUUUUAGCAACGGAUCUCUUGGCUCUCGCAUCGAUGAAGAACGCAGCGAAAUGCGAUAAGUAAUGUGAAUUGCAGAAUUCAGUGAAUCAUCGAAUCUUUGAACGCACCUUGCGCUCCUUGGUAUUCCGAGGAGCAUGCCUGUUUGAGUGUCAUGGA